AGAAUCACCUGGGAAGGUCUGAGGUGCCCAUCAUCCGAGAGGGAAAGCACGAGAGUGCUGAAAUGAUCAACAGAAACAAACCAGUGGCUCUUGAAGCCAUAAACUGUGUUGAAAGGGUCAUAAGGCAUGCCACUUAGUACAAUGCGCAAAGACAUUGUUAACUUAAUUCAGACUACUCUGGUCACAUC
This 188-nucleotide RNase P RNA is filed under the name Blepharisma stoltei. It matches the Rfam family "Nuclear RNase P", at positions 55 to 301 of the family's 301-position model. From Rfam's summary of the family: Ribonuclease P (RNase P) is a ubiquitous endoribonuclease, found in archaea, bacteria and eukarya as well as chloroplasts and mitochondria. The record is from RNAcentral. Lineage: Eukaryota; Ciliophora; Heterotrichea; Heterotrichida; Blepharismidae.